Molecule: long non-coding RNA, 237 nt
Filed under: Parus major (Great Tit)
Lineage: Eukaryota; Metazoa; Chordata; Aves; Passeriformes; Paridae
Description: lncRNA (ENSPMJG00000013647.1)
Source: RNAcentral
AUGAGCAAAGAGGAUAGUUGCUGGGAUGUGAUGAAGGCUGUGAAAGGAAAAAAUAAAUUAACAUCCAGUGGGCUUCUCCUCCUACUGUGCAUACAGGAAGUCUUAAGGAGACCACAGGACACUAUCAGUACUGCCUCCCAACACAUUCUGGAUCCCAAGAACCCUUCCUAUUCCUCUACAGCCUCUAAUAACUUCACUUAAAAUAAAACUCCUAGUUUGGUGUUUCUUGUGUGAAAU